Molecule: ribosomal RNA, 181 nt
Filed under: uncultured bacterium
Lineage: Bacteria
Description: partial 16S ribosomal RNA
Rfam family: Bacterial small subunit ribosomal RNA
Source: RNAcentral
AUGAAGCUGGAAUCGCUAGUAAUCGCGAAUCAGAAUGUCGCGGUGAAUACGUUCCCGGGUCUUGUACACACCGCCCGUCACACCAUGGGAGUCGGAAAUGCCCGAAGUCAGUGACCCAACCGCAAGGAGGGAGCUGCCGAAGGUGGAGCCGGUAACUGGGGUGAAGUCGUAACAAGGUAAC